Long non-coding RNA from Canis lupus familiaris (dog), 1599 nucleotides. RefSeq lists it as uncharacterized. Lineage: Eukaryota; Metazoa; Chordata; Mammalia; Carnivora; Canidae. The transcript is spliced from 3 exons. The record is from RefSeq and is a predicted model, not a curated record.
AGAGCAGGGGCCUAACGCCGGCUCCCCCCGGACGCGGCCCCUGACACCCACCCGUCGGCGGCACCAACGGCCGGAAGCGCCCUGCGCGGCGGCGGGGUAGGUGGAACCCAAGGAAUAGGAUUCAAAGAGAACUUUCAAUUUAUCUGCAUUUUUCAUACUUUCUAUAAUACUUUCACCUUCAACAGAGUAAAACAUUGGAAAAUUUCAUCACAACCUGGAUUUCCAAACAUUCUUCUUUUCUUUUAUGCUUUUUAGUAAUUAAAUUCCGUUGAUUCAAAGGAUGAAAAAUAACAGAACAGCUAUUGGAACCCUAGCCCACAAAACUAGAAUUUUCCCCCAAAACUGAAAGUGUCUAGGGUGAUGACAACCCUAAGUCCAAAUCCAGGUAAAGUAAAAGGGAAUCCAGGUAGAAAAAACGAGGUAUGGACAGGAGUAGCAUUGACACCAGAAGGAUAAAUACAUCUCCCUUUUUUAUCCCAACCAGGAGUCUUCUAAUGUAAAUUUGCCCUGAUUUGAAAAGCACAAGGCCCCUUUGAUGCUGUUGUUUACUCUGCUGUUUACAAAAAUAAAAUUUGUUCAAAGAAAAUUACUGAGAGAUUUUUCACCCCUUUAAUGCUAUUCUAAGGCAUUGGUAUGUAUGAAAAACAAUAUAAAUUUUGAGAAUUUUUGCCAUUUUUGUUAGUGAUAUCUAUUGAUGUCUGCUAAGAUUCUUUUAAAAUAGGGAUGAAUUUUUUUUUCAGAAUCUAUCCUAAGAAAAUAAUCCUAAUAUAAAAUCAGUCUUACGCACAGAGAUUUUUUAAAUAUUUUAAAAACAUAUCUAAUAUGGAAAUUGGGAUACAUACAUUCAAUUAACUAUUAUUGUGGUCAUAUUAAAAAUGACAUUUAUGAAAGACUUAAGCCUAGAAGACAGUGAUGUUAAUCCCAAGUGGGAGAAAAAUGCGUGUGUACCAAGUUAAAUAGAAUAUGACCCCAAAAAUAUUGAAAAACAUGAUAUGCAUGCACAUACACACAACACUGAGAAGAAAUAUACCAUAAUAUGGACUUAAUUUUUAGAUAAUGGGCAUGUGGAUGACAUUUUUAUUAUUUUAAAUGUCCAGUUUUCUACAAUAAACAUCCUUUAAAGAAGAAACGAUGAGAUAUUUCAUAUUUUGCCUGAUAUUGUAUAUAGUUUAAAAUGUUUACUAAAUAAAUUUCAUUAAUGUACUUCUAAGAAAGCUACAUUAGAAAAACCUUAAAAAAAUAAUGGAUAAUGUUUUUUGGUAUUUGACACAAUCUUGGAAAAUAAUUUGAUCUUGCUUUUUGUAUAGUGUACUAAUGCAUACAUAUGGAAUAUGUUACUAGAUAAUGAAUUCAUGAGAAUUAACAUUUUUGGAUCACUUUAAAUGAAAUGAAUGACUUAGAAGAUUGUUUCUGACUUGUGCUUUUGUGCUUGUUAGCAAAGCAUUACAAAAAGUGUUAAUAAUAAACACUGUCUGAUAGAAUCUUAUAGUUUGCAAAAAGUUUUGACAUAUUAUUUUAUUAGAACAUUAAGAAAAUUAGGUUGAUUAUAAUAAGGACUAAUCUUCAACAAAGCAGGAAAAAAUAUCCAAUGGAAAAAAG